Molecule: ribosomal RNA, 495 nt
Filed under: uncultured bacterium
Lineage: Bacteria
Description: bacterial SSU rRNA
Rfam family: Bacterial small subunit ribosomal RNA
Source: RNAcentral
UCCUGGCUCAGGAUGAACGCUAGCGGCAGGCUUAAUACAUGCAAGUCGUGGGGCAGCAUGAGUAGCAAUACUUGAUGGCGACCGGCAAACGGGUGAGGAACACGUACACAACCUUCCUUCAAGCGGGGAAUAGCCCAGAGAAAUUUGGAUUAAUACCCCAUAAUAUAUUUGAUAAGGCAUCUUAUUAAUAUUAAAGCUUCGGCACUUGAUGAUGGGUGUGCGGCUGAUUAGAUAGUUGGCGGGGUAACGGCCCACCAAGUCUACGAUCAGUAGCUGAUGUGAGAGCAUGAUCAGCCACACGGGCACUGAGACACGGGCCCGACUCCUACGGGAGGCAGCAGUAAGGAAUAUUGGACAAUGGACGAAAGUCUGAUCCAGCCAUGCCGCGUGAAGGAUUAAGGUCCUCUGGAUUGUAAACUUCUUUUAUAUGGGACGAAAAAGGGCAUUCUUGUUCACUUGACGGUACCAUAUGAAUAAGCACCGGCUAACUCCGUG